UGGGGANUUNCGCAUGGNCGAAAGNCUGACGCAGCAACGCCCGCCGUGAGUGAUGAAGGUUUUCGGACUGUAAANCUCUGUUGUNUAGGACGAAAGUGCCUGUUGCCAACAGUUACAGGUNUUGACGGUACUAAACGAGGAAGCCACGGGCUAACUACGUGCCAGCAGCCGCGGUAAUA
Molecule: ribosomal RNA, 179 nt
Filed under: uncultured bacterium
Lineage: Bacteria
Description: partial 16S ribosomal RNA
Rfam family: Bacterial small subunit ribosomal RNA
Source: RNAcentral